This is an RNA transcript of Trifolium pratense (red clover), 4899 nucleotides long. It is a transcript of the gene named fructose-bisphosphate aldolase, cytoplasmic isozyme 1, with no coding region annotated. The record is from RefSeq and is a predicted model, not a curated record. Lineage: Eukaryota; Viridiplantae; Streptophyta; Magnoliopsida; Fabales; Fabaceae. The transcript has 2 exons.
UUUCAAUUUUCAACGUCUAAUAUUUGGAUUUUAGUUAGCCUUAAGCAAACAGAGCCUAACACCUCACUUUCCCUUUCUUCCUCUCCUUGCGUCACCGGAGACAAUGCCGUCAUCAGAACUUCGAAAUUCGCCGCCGGUAAAGCUAGUUUCCUCUCAAAAACGUUCAAGAGACAAAUCUCUCCGUCUUCUCCUAAAAUCAUGGCAAUCACAAAACCUUCUUCCCCAAAACGACGCCAAAAAGCUAUGGAAAUCACUCUUCAACUGCGUUUUACACUCCGACAAGCCUCAUAUUCAAUCCGACCUCAUCGAUCGCAUCACCUCACAUCUCUCAACACUCCACCAUCAUCAGCCUUCACUCGCACUUCAGUAUUUCUCCAUUUUCUUCAUCACCAUUCGUCGUGAAUUGUCCGGUAUCGAUUCCCUUAGGUUAGAAAAAUUCUAUCUUCUGAUUCGUAGAUUCAUUUCGAAUUUAUUCUCUUUACUUAAUAAGAAUUCGUGGAAUUUGGAAUUUGUUGAGAGUUUUAUGAAUUGUUUGGGUGAUGCUACUUUUUGUGGUAAAGAUAAGUUGUUGAUUAAAGGAAACGGUGUUAAUUAUCUUGUUGUUUCUGUUUUUCUUGAUGAGAUUACGCCUUUUUUACCGGUUAAUUUGUGUGUUUUAGAAGUGCUGUUUAGGCCGUUUUUUGAUGCUAUGGUUAAGUUGAAUGAUAAGGUUUUGUUAGGGAAGAUUAAGAGUUGCUUUUUUGAUGUGUUGUUGAUGAAUGGGAAGAGGUUGUUGGAGGUUAAGAAGAAUGGGGAUGAAGAUUGUAACGGUGAUGUUGUGAAUUUGGGAACUAUAGCGAUUGUUAUGGAGUUUUCUUCUAAGUUAUUUGAGUUGGGUUCUGGUUCUGAUUGUGUUGAGGGGAGUAGAAAGGUGUUGUUUGAGUUGCAUCGCGCGUUCUUGAAGCUGGAGAGGGAUGCUGUUAAUUCGGGGUUUAAGGUCAUUUCUGAUUCUGUUGAUCAGGGUGCGAAGGAUUUGGUUCCCAUUGUUGAGGUUGUUGGUUUAGGCAAGAAGGGUUCUGUCGACAAAGUGAAAAAGACAAAGAAGAAGAAGAAUAAGAAGAGCGGAAAUUGUGAGAUGAAUUGUGCUGAUAAGAAUGUUGCUAACGAGAAUGGUGGAAAUUCAAAUGAUGAACAAGUUGUUGAUGGUGAAGGCGCAAUGGUUUUGAAUGAGAGUAUGCUUUCAAAUCUCCAAAAGCGGUUUGAGAAUAUUGCUGCCGAAGGAGGUUUUGCAGAUAGUGUUGCAAGUGAAGCUACUGGGAUUGUAUCUAACAAGAGAAAGAGAACAAAGAAUUCUGAAGGAAAGACAUCUCGAGACUGUGAUUUGAAUGGUGGAGAUGUGGAAUAUUCGGCAGUAGCAAAGAGUGGGGAGAAAAGUUCGAAGAGGGUAAAAUUUUCCAUGGAAAGUAACUUGGUCUGGAUGCCACACAGUCCUUUACCUCCUGAGAGCUUAAGAAUUCCUCCAUCUGUUACACCCAGAGGAAGUGCACUCAAAAAGGGUGUACCCCCAGGUCCUAUCUGCGAUACGCCUCUCCCUCUACCGACCAAAGGGGCGAAACGGAAGAAGGCCAGAGAUACAAUACGCUUGAUGAAAUUAAAAUCUCUUUCUGUGUGAUUUCCCUGACAUUAUGAGGUUAUAUUUCCAUGACUUAUUUUGUCAAUCAUUUAUUUGUUAUUCUUGAAAUUUUGAAACUUCAUUAUGAUAGUUGAAUUCUACCCCAAGUGUAAAGCAAAUUGACUUUUAGCUUAGAGCUAAUCUAUUCAAGAUCAUAAUGUUGAUUAAUGUGUGAUUCAUCUACCUAUCCAUGCCAUUUCUUUCUAUCUUAUUACUAUUGUUGUUGAUGUUUUAUUUUGUUUUAACAAAUGGCUUAAAAUGCUUGGUAAUGAUGACCUUGUGACUUAUUGAGGAUUGGCACACUGUUUUUUCCUUCAAAGCUGAGCCUUGUUGUUGGCACCUACUUGUAAUAUAUUGAUAGCUUGUUGAGGAGUUUCUUUUUUUAGGAAUGAGUGAAGGGUUAUGAACUUGUGAUAUGAAUGAGUCUGUGAUCAGCAGUGGCUGUACUGCCUAUGUUUUUAUGUUUUAAACGGAUGAGAAGUCGAGAAUGAUGGUUCAUUGCUUUGCAAUGUAUUGGGGUUAUUUGAAUGAUACCUUGCUUCUUAUGAUUAACAGGGAAGUCCAUAGGGUCCAUGGAAAUGAUGAAAUCACUAGAGGAACAUUUGUUGUACCAUGUUAGAAAAACUAGAGGAAUACUAGGGAGUUUGAAUCUGUGACUCUGCCCCCUUGUGAAAUUUUGACACAUUUUGUGAAUUUAUUUGUUGUUUGCAGAUGUUUCAUAUAUUCUAUCAUGUACAUAAAAUAGGCCGUAAUGAUUUUUUAUUUAUUGGAAUGAUAUAGGGCCUGUUUGUUUCAGAUUUUUCACCAAAAAAAAAUCUAUUUUUUUUCUCUUGUGUUUGUUUCAGAUUUUUUCAAAAAUCAUUUUAGUAAAAAUAUCAUUUUUUUCAUCAAAAUGAGAAUCUAUUUUCAAUAGCUUUUAUCAAAAUCCAUUUUUUUAUCACUCAUCAUCCCUCACCAUUUAAAAAAAUAGAUUUUUAUGAUUGUAAACAAACGGCAAAUAGCUUUAGAUUUUCUUCAAAAUGUCUAGAUUUUUUUUUUAAAAAAGUCCAUUUUUUUAAAGCUGAAACAAACAGGCCCAUACAAGUGUAACAAUUUAACCUCAAAAGAUUGUAUCUAAUACAAAGAAGAAAUAAGAAAUAAUCAAGAAGCUAUGAGAAAUUGGUAUAGAUUAGUCAAAUCAAAGAAAUAGACUAAUGUAUAGAUUAGUAAAAUAAAAGAAAUAGACAAAUGUCUUCCAUGAUAACUUCAGAAAAGACUGUAUCUUUGUGCAUUUUUAACUGCAGAGUACUAUAGCAGUGUGUGAUGAUUUUCAUGUUGCUCAAAUGUCUGCUUUCCCUGGAAUGAGUCAAUGUCUAGUCGGAUGUAGGACUGGCUUUAUGCUUUCUCCAAAUGGAUUUUUGUAAGCGGUUGCGUGGUGUCUCCAUUAUCAGCAGGUAUUCUGUCUAUCCCAAAGCAGAAAUCAUCUGAAUGAUAAUAUAUUGGCAUUAUUGGUUGAACAUUUUGUCUAGAAAAUUUUCUCUUAUUCCUCCGUAAAUAAUUCCAUAAAUAAAUGGUUGAUCUUUUGUUGAUUUGGGUUUGGAAUAGGAAAUUGUUUAGAUUGCAUGAAGCGCUAAUUGUUUUCCUUGAAAUUAUCAUCUAUAUUUAUCCCCCACCAUGCUUUAAGAGACUUAGUUCUUUUUUCCACGCUACUCAGUUUAAUGUGAAUUGUCAACCUAAGAUCACUGCAGUUUUUUGGUUAAAUUUGUUUCUUAUAAAAGCAUCCUAUGUCCUUAAAUUUGAUAUAAUGAUCUGAUUUCAGUAGAGAAAAACCAUGGAUAAUGCUUUACGAGCAUGCUGCAAAGGUGACAAUGGUCAGCCAGUUUUUCAUCUGCAUAUAUGCUUCGGAAUUGAGUGUAUAAUUAUGUUUGUUUGAUUUCACAAUGUCUAACUCGUCCCCUUGAGCAUCUAAUAUAUGAGAAGUUGCCAAAUGAUAUCUCAGAUAGGUAUGUGUUGCAGUUGGAUCCUAUCUUAAGGCACAGGUUUGUCUGUUUUGUAAUGUAUGUUUAAUUUAGUGUCAGUUUAAGGUGUGUUUUGUGCAAGCUGACACAUGAACAGCACAUGAUAAAUAUUUCAGUUUUAAAACAAUUUGUUGUUUUUUGUCAAAAAUAAAAUAAAAUUUGUUGUUUGCAUAUCUAUUGAUGAUCAAUACAACACAAGCAAAACAAUGGAAAAGUUACUUCAAUACCUAUAUUGUGUAAUGUAAUGUCUAUUUCACGGUUCACGCAGUUAUUGGUGAACAUUCAUAUGACACACACUGUUAUUGACUUUGAGCAUUCAUAUGAGAGAGAAAGCAUAGAUAUUGAGUAGAAAAUGAAAAAAGGUAAUUUUGUCUUUAGUUAGUGUCUGUUGUCCUUGGAAGAAGUUAUCCCAUGGCUUGUCACUUUGUUGAGUAACAAAAUGUUCGAGCCUUUAAUUUUAUAUGGAACAAUCUUUUUUGUUUGGUUUUUUUUUUUUUUUUUUUUUUUGACAAUCUUUUUUGUUUGGUUUAGUCCUUCAUUUUUGAGCAAUCCAGCAGUCUCUAAAUAUUUUACAGCUUGUAAAAAUGCAAACGAACCAUCAGCAGCCUACUGCAACUUUAGGUUAUGUAGAAGUUACCAUAGGUAGGGUGUUUUGAAAUUGACAUUUAAGUAUUUGCAUUUUGUUUUGACUAACGUUAGAAUAUUUUCAUCUUUAGGUAAUUUUGCCGAUCAAGCAACUUUAAUUUUAAAGGUGUACCAGAGUCCAACAUUAUAUUUCUCAACCUCGUCUUAUGGGUGUACCAGACUCCAACAUAUUUCUCAACCUCGUAUCAGCACCUCAAAGUGUGCAUGACAUCCGAGAUUGACAUUGGUCUGAAUGAAGAUUUCCGUGUCAUUCCUGGGAUAUGCGAGUUUGGGGACCAGUACUUUGGAAAAGAUGACGAUGACGAGCAGUUGGAGAGCCGUUCGUGGUAAUUAUUCUUGGGCAAAAUCAACAACAUUUUUGGUUGAUCAUUAACUAACGAGACUUCACUGUAAAGAAAAGGAUUGUACUUUGCUGAAUCGAGACUCUGCCGGGAUUUUAGUGCUAGUUGUAAUUCAAUUUCGAUCAUAAUCCUUAUUUUACUUUAUUUAAUGACAUAUAGUUGAAAUCCUCGGAUGCAAAUUUUGUGAUCAUGUAUUAUUUUACCCGAUAUUAUCCUUGAACUUAUUCUUUGCUGAUACUGUGAUAAUAGAAUACAUGUUCAUGAA